GAUGAAGAACGUAGCAAAAUGCGAUACUUGGUGUGAAUUGCAGAAUCCCGUGAACCAUCGAGUUUUUGAACGCAAGUUGCGCCCGAAGCCUUUUGGCCGAGGGCACGUCUGCCUGGGCGUCACACAUCGCGUCGCCCCCCACAACUCUCCGUAAAGGGAACUUGUGUUUUGGGGGCGGAUAUUGGUCUCCCGUGCUCAUGGCGUGGUUGGCCGAAAUAGGAGUCCCUCCGGUGGACGCACGAACUAGUGGUGGUCGUAAAAACCCUCGUCUUUUGUUUCGUGCCGUUAGUCGCGAGGGAAACUCUUUAAAAACCCAAAUGUGUCGUCUCUUGACGGCGCUUCGACCGCGACCCCAGGUCAGGCGGGACUACCCGCUGAGUUUAAGCAUAUCAAUAAGCGGAGGA
Molecule: unclassified non-coding RNA, 404 nt
Filed under: soil metagenome
Description: partial contains 5.8S ribosomal RNA, internal transcribed spacer 2, and large subunit ribosomal RNA
Rfam family: 5.8S ribosomal RNA (bases 1-122)
Source: RNAcentral